UUUCCGUGGGUGAACCUGCGGAAGGAUCAUUAAAGAACGCCCCGUUUUUUGAAAUGGGUAAUUCUAAACCGUGUAUACAUACCUUUGUUGCUUUGGCAGGCCGCCCCUCAGGGCGUCGGCUCCGGCUGACUGCGCCUGCCAGAGGACCCAAACUCUUUUGUUUAGUGAUGUCUGAGUACUAUAUAAUAGUUAAAACUUUCAACAACGGAUCUCUUGGUUCUG
Molecule: unclassified non-coding RNA, 222 nt
Filed under: plant metagenome
Description: partial contains small subunit ribosomal RNA, internal transcribed spacer 1, and 5.8S ribosomal RNA
Source: RNAcentral